ACCCCAUUGGACUUCAUUCGAGUUGCCGAUUCUCAGGAACCAGUCUUUCCACCCCUUAGUAGGACCGGGCGAAGAACGAAAAGUGUCUUUCCACAGAUCUAAGGAGAAGUUUUCAGCCUUAAAGGGGAUCCUAUUUGUCUCUGCAUUUAUUAAAUUGGUAGGAUCUGGAUUUCCCAAUGGACAAAGACACUGGAAGUGAGGUUGAUCGGUAGGGAUUACAAUCUUAUCGGCCAACUCCUAAAAGAUUUGAAGGUUGGAAGAACAGAAAAGGAAACAAAGAAGAAAAAAAAUGUACUUAGUAAAUAGAUUCGC
RNAcentral lists this long non-coding RNA (312 nucleotides) under Sorghum bicolor (sorghum). RNAcentral's name for it is "long non-coding RNA (SBIC_LNC010872)". The record is from RNAcentral. Lineage: Eukaryota; Viridiplantae; Streptophyta; Magnoliopsida; Poales; Poaceae.